This is a non-coding RNA of Ceratotherium simum simum (southern white rhinoceros), 79 nucleotides long. The record is from RefSeq and is a predicted model, not a curated record. Lineage: Eukaryota; Metazoa; Chordata; Mammalia; Perissodactyla; Rhinocerotidae.
CAUUCAAUCAAAUCAAUAAAGGACAAAAACCAUACGAUCAUUUCAAUAGACACAGAAAAAGAUUUGACAAAAUCCAACA